UACGUAGGGGGCAAGCGUUGUUCGGAAUUACUGGGCGUAAAGGGCUCGUAGGCGGCCAACUAAGUCAGACGUGAAAUCCCUCGGCUUAACCGGGGAACUGCGUCUGAUACUGGAUGGCUUGAAUCCGGGAGAGGGAUGCGGAAUUCCAGGUGUAGCGGUGAAAUGCGUAGAUAUCUGGAGGAACACCGGUGGCGAAGGCGGCAUCCUGGACCGGCAUUGACGCUGAGGAGCGAAAGCCAGGGAGCAAACGGG
Molecule: ribosomal RNA, 252 nt
Filed under: uncultured bacterium
Lineage: Bacteria
Description: partial 16S ribosomal RNA
Rfam family: Bacterial small subunit ribosomal RNA
Source: RNAcentral